CCUACGGGAGGCAGCAGUGGGGAAUAUUGCACAAUGGGCGCAAGCCUGAUGCAGCGACGCCGCGUGAGGGAUGACGGCCUUCGGGUUGUAAACCUCUUUCAGUAGGGAAGAAGCGAAAGUGACGGUACCUGCAGAAGAAGCGCCGGCUAACUACGUGCCAGCAGCCGCGGUAAUACGUAGGGCGCAAGCGUUAUCCGGAAUUAUUGGGCGUAAAGAGCUCGUAGGCGGUUUGUCGCGUCUGCCGUGAAAGUCCGGGGCUCAACUCCGGAUCUGCGGUGGGUACGGGCAGACUAGAGUGAUGUAGGGGAGACUGGAAUUCCUGGUGUAGCGGUGAAAUGCGCAGAUAUCAGGAGGAACACCGAUGGCGAAGGCAGGUCUCUGGGCAUUAACUGACGCUGAGGAGCGAAAGCAUGGGGAGCGAACAGGAUUAGAUACCCUGGUAGUCCAUGCCGUAAACGUUGGGCACUAGGUGUGGGGGUACAUUCCACGUUUUCCGCGCCGUAGCUAACGCAUUAAGUGCCCCGCCUGGGGAGUCGGCCGCAAGGCUAAACUUAAUGAAUUGACGGCUGAGAGNGCGAGACGACGACGAGGAGAGG
RNAcentral lists this ribosomal RNA (596 nucleotides) under uncultured bacterium. RNAcentral's name for it is "bacterial SSU rRNA". It matches the Rfam family "Bacterial small subunit ribosomal RNA", at positions 338 to 946 of the family's 1533-position model. The record is from RNAcentral.